Molecule: ribosomal RNA, 460 nt
Filed under: uncultured bacterium
Lineage: Bacteria
Description: partial 16S ribosomal RNA
Rfam family: Bacterial small subunit ribosomal RNA
Source: RNAcentral
CCUACGGGUGGCAGCAGUGAGGAAUAUUGGUCAAUGGACGAGAGUCUGAACCAGCCAAGUAGCGUGAAGGAUGACUGCCCUAUGGGUUGUAAACUUCUUUUAUAUGGGAAUAAAAUGUUCCCCGUGUGGGAUUUUGUAUGUACCAUAUGAAUAAGGAUCGGCUAAAUCCGUGCCAGCAGCCGCGGUAAUACGGAGGAUCCGAGCGUUAUCCGGAUUUAUUGGGUUUAAAGGGAGCGUAGGUGGAUUGUUAAGUCAGUUGUGAAAGUUUGCGGCUCAACCGUAAAAUUGCAGUUGAAACUGGCAGUCUUGAGUACAGUAGAGGUGGGCGGAAUUCGUGGUGUAGCGGUGAAAUGCUUAGAUAUCACGAAGAACUCCGAUUGCGAAGGCAGUUCACUGGACUGCAACUGACACUGAGGCUCGAAAGUGUGGGUAUCAAACAGGAUUAGAUACCCGGGUAGUC